Molecule: small nuclear RNA, 23 nt
Filed under: Arabidopsis thaliana (thale cress)
Lineage: Eukaryota; Viridiplantae; Streptophyta; Magnoliopsida; Brassicales; Brassicaceae
Description: snRNA_03427
Source: RNAcentral
UCAACCUGAAAUAAUACAUAUAA